GCGAAGUUCGUCCGCGGGACUCGGAAUGGCACCAUACUUGGCGGGCGGCCUCUGUGUGCCAAAAAUAGGCCACGGGCACAGCCGCGCCCAAAAAUCAGCCCCCGAAGGUCGGGGUCCCAAGACCCCCCAGCGGAAAAAUGGCCAAAAAACGGGUGGGCAAUAGCCUUGGUGGGCGGCGUGGGCGAAGUUCGUCUGCGGGACUCGGAAUGGCACCAUACUUGGCGGGCGGCCUCUGUGUGCCAAAAAUAGGCCACGAGCACAGCCGCGCCCAAAAAUCAGCCCCCGAAGGUCGGGGUCCCAAGACCACCCAGCGGAAAAAUGGCCAAAAAACGGGUGGGCUAUAGCCUUGGUGGGGGGCGUGGGCGAACUUCGUCCGUGGGACUUGGAAUGGCCCCUGACUUGGCGGGCGGCCUCCAUGUGCCAAAAAUAGGCCACAGGCACAGCCGCGCCCAAAAAUCAGCCCCCGAAGGUCGGGGUCCCAAGACCCCCCAGUGGAAAAAUGGCCAAAAAACGGGUGGGCUAUAGCCUUGGUGGGGGGCGUGGGCGAAGUUCGUCCGCGGGACUCGGAAUGGCACCAUACUUGGCGGGCGGUCACUGUGUUCCAAAAAUAGGCCACGGGCACAGCCGCGCCCAAAAAUCAGCCCCCGAAGGUCGGGGUCCCAAGACCCCCCAGCGGAAAAAUGGCCAAAAAACGGGUGGGCUAUAGCCUUGGUGGGGGGCGUGGGCGAAGUUCGUUCGCGGGACUCGGAAUGGCACCAUACUUGGCGGGCGGCCUCUGUGUGCCAAAAAUAGGCCACGGGCACAGCCGCGCCCAAAAAUCAGCCCCCGAAGGUCGGGGUCCCAAGACCCCCCAGUGGAAAAAUGGCCAAAAAACGGGUGGGCUAUAGCCUUGGUGGGGGGCGUGGGCGAACUUCGUCCGCGGGACUCGGAAUGGCCCCUGACUUGGCGGGCGGCCUCCGUGUGCCAAAAAUAGGCCACGGGCACAGCCGCGCCCAAAAAUCAGCCCCCGAAGGUCGGGGUCCCAAGACCCCCCAGCGGAAAAAUGGCCAAAAAACGGGUGGGCUAUAGCCUGGAGGGCGGCGUGGGCGAAGGUCGUCUGCGGACUUCGGAAUGUCACCAUACUUGGCGGGCGGCCUCUGUGUGCCAAAAAUAGGUCACGGGCACAGCCGCGCCCAAAAAUCAGCCCCCGAAGGUCGGGGUCCCAAGACCCCCCAGUGGAAAAAUGGCCAAAAAACGGGUGGGCUAUAGCCUUGGUGGGGGGCGUGGGCGAACUUCGUCCGCGGGACUCGGAAUGGCCCCUGACUUGGCGGGCGGCCUCCGUGUGCCAAAAAUAGGCCACGGGCACAGCCGCGCCCAAAAAUCAGCCCCCGAAGGUCGGGGUCCCAAGACCCCCCAGCGGAAAAAUGGCCAAAAAACGGGUGGGCUAUAGCCUUGGUGGGCGGCGUGGGCGAAGUUCGUCCGCGGGACUCGGAAUGGCACCAUACUUGGCGGGCGGCCUCCGUGUGCCAAAAAUAUGUCACGGGCACAGCCGCGCCCAAAAAUCAGCCCCCGAAGGUCGGGGUCCCAAGACCCCCCAGCGGAAAAAUGGUCAAAAAACGGGUGGGCUAUAGCCUUGGUGGGGGGCGUGGGCGAACUUCGUCCGCGGGUCUCGGAAUGGCCCCUGACUUGGCGGGCGUCCUCCGUGUGCCAAAAAUAGGCCACGGGCACAGCCGCGCCCAAAAAUCAGCCCCCGAAGGUCGGGGUCCCAAGACCCCCCAGUGGAAAAAUGGCCAAAAAACGGAUGGGCUAUAGCCUUGGUGGGGGGCGUGGGCGAACUUUGUCCGCGGGACUCGGAAUGGCCCCUGACUUGGCGGGCGGCCUCCGUGUGCCAAAAAUAGGCCACGGGCACAGCCCCGCCCAAAAAUCAGCCCCCGAAGGUCGGGGUCACAAGACCCCCCAGCGGAAAAAUGGCCAAAAAACGGGUGGGCUAUAGCCUUGGUGGGCGGGGUGGGCGAAGUUCGUCCGCGGGACUCGGAAUGGCACCAUACUUGGCGGGCGGCCUCUGCGUGCCAAAAAUAGGCCACGGGCACAGCCGCGCCCAAAAAUCAGCCCCCGAAGGUCGGGGUCCCAAGACCCCCCAGCGGAAAAAUGGUCAAAAAACGGGUGGGCUAUAGCCUUGGUGGGCGGCGUGGGCGAAGUUCGUCCGCGGGACUCGGAAUGGCACCAUACUUGGCGGGCGGCCUCUGUGUGCCAAAAAUAGGCCAUGGCACAGCCG
RNAcentral lists this long non-coding RNA (2254 nucleotides) under Citrus x clementina. RNAcentral's name for it is "Citrus clementina (C. clementina) long non-coding RNA (CCLE_LNC006146)". Lineage: Eukaryota; Viridiplantae; Streptophyta; Magnoliopsida; Sapindales; Rutaceae. The record is from RNAcentral.